RNAcentral lists this long non-coding RNA (1432 nucleotides) under Strigops habroptila (Kakapo). RNAcentral's name for it is "lncRNA (ENSSHBG00005016886.1)". Lineage: Eukaryota; Metazoa; Chordata; Aves; Psittaciformes; Psittacidae. The record is from RNAcentral.
UUUAACAACCGUAUUCUAUUUAUUCUCAAAAGCAAGCACCCAUCUGCCAUAUUUGAAGUCUCAUAAUAUUCCAUGUACCCCUCAGAUAAGCUGUUCUUUAGACAGACUCCUUCUUCUGCCCUUCCCUUGUCAAAUUGCAUUUGCCCAUGACCUGUGAACACAGCUCCCACUGCCCUCAGAGACACACACACACGUAACUAAACCAUCAGUCCUGACGCUCUUGGAGAGAGCAAUCUUUUCUGUGGGGUGUAGCUGCAAUAACAUACACUCACUGUUCACAUUAGCACUAAAUAAAUAAAUAACACAGAAUUCUUUCAGUGCUGUGCAAGGUUUGAAAUACGUGUGCCAUAAACAUGGCAGGAAAUGAGAAGGGUUUUGGUUUGUGCUCUGAAGACGACUCUUCACACAUAUUAAAAAUACAUCAUUAUUCUUAAUGCAUUUUCAGUGUGAAGCGACCUGCCUCUGAGAAUCCUGGAGGAUUGUGUGCCCGAGAGCCGGCCCACAGCCUCUCCUGCCCAGCCGAGGAUGGAGAUUCUCCAUUUGCUGAAUGGGAACUGAAGCACAUAAGGACACUUGGGAGCUCUCCGUGUGCGUUUAGGGCAAGGUUUUCAGGGGAGCUCAGCUUCGAGGAGCAGAAUAGCAGUUCUUUGCUAGGGAUCGUUUAAACAUCUGGCCCUGGGGGCCUCACACACCGCCCAGUGAGGUCCAGCAGGGCUUACAACCAGCUAGACAUGGGCAGAAUAGCAAAGCUGGGAACAGCACAUCAAUGGCUCUCUUCCAAACGGGGACCAGCCUCUCGCUCUGGGUGGUUCUGUGUAACCCGCGCAGCUCCAGCCUCCUCGAGAGGCAAGAGCCACAGAAGGAACCAGCGGGUUCCAAACCCCACACGCGGACGCAGCCGCGGUUUUCACUCGCGGUUUCUCAGCGCGGCGGCCGGACGCGUGUGACGGUGCCGCGGGGGAAGGAGAAACCGCAGUGCCGGGCACGGGAGAAAAAUCACGGAUCUCUUCUCGCUUCCCGUUCGCACGCCCCAGAACGGGAAUCACCAGCUCCCCCUCACCCUCCCCACCCCGCUGCCCCCGGCCAGAAGCGCUGCCCGGUGCCGCUCCCGGGCUGGGGCUCCGCCGGCGGCGGGGCGGGGGUAACGGGGGGGCUGCGGCGCCCUCACGGCUGCCCCCCACUAACGGCCGCGCUUGGAGGGGCCGGGACAGGGAGAGCCCAGGGGGGUCCGGAUGGGAGCCGGGGUGAGGGGGGGGUGCCAGUGGUCCCGUGUCCCUGCCGCGGCAGCCGCCGUUACCUGCAGGCCCGGGCGGGGGGGCGCGGUGCACGCGCAGCCGCCGCCUGCGCUCCAUUCAUAAAAAAAAAAAAAAAGAAAAAAAACAGAAAGAAAAAAAAGGGGGAAAAAAAGGAGGAAGAAGGGAAAAAAAAAAAA